UGCGCAGGUGGGUUUGUAAGUCAGUGGUGAAAUGCUGCCGCUUAACGGUAGAAUUGCCAUUGAUACUGCAAAUCUUGAGUAUGGUUGAGGUAGGCGGAAUGUGUUGUGUAGCGGUGAAAUGCAUAGAUAUGACACAGAACGCCGAUUGCGAAGGCAGCUUACUAAGCCAUUACUGACGCUGAGGCACGAAAGCGUGGGGAGCAAACAGGAUUAGAUACCCUGGUAGUCC
This 229-nucleotide ribosomal RNA is filed under the name uncultured bacterium. RNAcentral's name for it is "partial 16S ribosomal RNA". It matches the Rfam family "Bacterial small subunit ribosomal RNA", at positions 568 to 796 of the family's 1533-position model. The record is from RNAcentral.